GACAGCGCAAGCACCGGACGCCAAACGAACCGCAGUCAAAUUUAACGCCCAUUCAUAAAUGCCCAAUUCUUACAUUCGUGGACUCACUCGCUAUGACUUUUCGAAAAUCCAAACACAAAAUUACAGAAUUUGCAUAUGACAAGUUGCAAUAUAUAUAGAGAAUCUAAUAAAGAAGAAAUAACUGGUUAAAGUUCAAACAUCAUCCUAAAAUCUAGAAAGAGAAACCUCCAGGAAUCUUCUCUCUCUGCAGAGUACAGACAGGGGCAUACAUAGUGAUAUACAUCAUCUUUGUGCUCUGGUCUUUAUACAAGUCAUAACUUCGGUAUGUGUGAUUAUUUAUUCGAUUUUUUUAUUUAAAUUUUGAAUUUUACUUUGUGAUUUUAUGUUUCUGGAAUUAUAUUAGAAAAAUGAUUUAGCGAUUAUUUGUUAUUAUUGUUAUUUGAAAUCAAGUUGGAAGAGCGAUGAUUGUGAUUUGAAAAUAUUUGAGGUUGAUUUUGGAAGAACUGUGGCUUUCCGUAGUGGCAAUUUUGUUGAUUGUUUAGGAGAACGUGAUAAAGUUCUUUGCGGUGGUUUUUUAUUUCCUUUUUCUUUUUCUUUUUUAUUUUUUGUGGUUUUUAAUUUUCUGUUGUUGUGAGUAUGAUGCAAAAUUAUUCAAUUUAGAGAACAACCAAUGUUUGGAUUGCGAAUGCUAAUUUUUAUAAGGUCUGUUUAUAGAUAUCGUGUGAUUGAUUUGAUUAGGAGUGUUGCUCUCUUCAAUUGUAAUUGUUUUAGACAAACUACAGUUUCCGCAUGAAAUUGGUUUGUAUGGCUAUAAAUGUCCUCUUUCUGAAGUUUUGAUUUGGCGAUGAAGAUGAUAUGGUAAAGGUUUUGC
This 871-nucleotide long non-coding RNA is filed under the name Olea europaea (common olive). RNAcentral describes it as "long non-coding RNA (OEUR_LNC005514)". Lineage: Eukaryota; Viridiplantae; Streptophyta; Magnoliopsida; Lamiales; Oleaceae. The record is from RNAcentral.